RNAcentral lists this ribosomal RNA (515 nucleotides) under uncultured bacterium. Its description in RNAcentral is "bacterial SSU rRNA". It matches the Rfam family "Bacterial small subunit ribosomal RNA", at positions 735 to 1253 of the family's 1533-position model. The record is from RNAcentral.
AAAGACUGACGCUCAUGCACGAAAGCGUGGGGAUCAAACAGGAUUAGAUACCCUGGUAGUCCACGCUGUAAACGAUGAUCACUCGUUGUUGGCGAUAUACUGUCAGCGACUGAGGGAAACCAUUAAGUGAUCCACCUGGGGAGUACGGCGGCAACGUUGAAACUCAAAGGAAUUGACGGGGGCCCGCACAAGCGGAGGAGCAUGUGGUUUAAUUCGAUGAUACGCGAGGAACCUUACCUGGGCUUAAAUGCAGGACGACGUUUCGUGAAAGCGGAAUUUCCUUCGGGACGUCUUGCAAGGUGCUGCAUGGUUGUCGUCAGCUCGUGCCGUGAGGUGUCGGGUUAAGUCCCAUAACGAGCGCAACCCUUAUCAUUAGUUGCCAUCAGGUCAUGCUGGGAACUCUAAUGAAACUGCCUACGCAAGUAGUGAGGAAGGUGGGGAUGACGUCAAAUCAGCACGGCCCUUAUGUCCAGGGCGACACACGUGCUACAAUGGCCAGUACAGAGGGUUGCAAA